Molecule: ribosomal RNA, 497 nt
Filed under: uncultured bacterium
Lineage: Bacteria
Description: partial 16S ribosomal RNA
Rfam family: Bacterial small subunit ribosomal RNA
Source: RNAcentral
GAUGAACGCUGGCGGCGUGCCUAAUACAUGCCAGUCGAGCGAACGGACGAGAAGCUUGCUUCUCUGAUGUUAGCGGCGGACGGGUGAGUAACACGUGGAUAACCUACCUAUAAGACUGGGAUAACUUCGGGAAACCGGAGCUAAUACCGGAUAAUAUUUUGAACCGCAUGGUUCAAAAGUUAAAGACGGUCUUGCUGUCUCUUAUAGAUGGAUCCGCGCUGCAUUAGCUAGUUGGUAAGGUAACGGCUUACCAAGGCAACGAUGCAUAGCCGACCUGAGAGGGUGAUCGGCCACACUGGAACUGAGACACGGUCCAGACUCCUACGGGAGGCAGCAGUAGGGAAUAUUCCGCAAUGGGCGAAAGCCUGACGGAGCAACGCCGCGUGAGUGAUGAAGGUCUUCGGAUCGUAAAACUCCGUUAUUAGGGAAGAAAAUAUGUGUAAGAAACUGUGCACAUCUUGACGGUACCUAAUGAGAAAGCCACGGCUAACUACGUG